RNAcentral lists this ribosomal RNA (253 nucleotides) under uncultured bacterium. RNAcentral's name for it is "partial 16S ribosomal RNA". It matches the Rfam family "Bacterial small subunit ribosomal RNA", at positions 524 to 776 of the family's 1533-position model. The record is from RNAcentral.
UACGGGGGGGGCAAGCGUUGUUCGGAAUUACUGGGCGUAAAGGGCUCGUAGGCGGCCAACUAAGUCGGACGUGAAAUCCCCAGGCUCAACCUGGGAACUGCGUCCGAUACUGGAUGGCUUGAAUCCGGGAGAGGGAUGCAGAAUUCCAGGUGUAGCGGUGAAAUGCGUAGAUAUCUGGAGGAACACCGGUGGCGAAGGCGGGUCUCUGGGCCGAUACUGACGCUGAGGAGCGAAAGCGUGGGGAGCAAACAGG